AUUAAGCCAUGCAAGUCUAAGUUUAAGCACAUAAACGGCGAAACUGCGAAUGGCUCAUUAAAUCAGUUAUCGUUUAUUUGAUAGUACCUACUACAUGGAUAACCGUGGUAAUUCUAGAGCUAAUACAUGCUAAAAAUCCCGACUUCGGAAGGGAUGUAUUUAUUAGAUUAAAAACCAAUGCCCUUCGGGGCUCACUGGUGAUUCAUAAUAACUUCUCGAAUCGCAUGGCCUUGCGCUGGCGAUGGUUCAUUCAAAUUUCUGCCCUAUCAACUUUCGACGGCUGGGUCUUGGCCAGCCAUGGUGACAACGGGUAACGGAGGGUUAGGGCUCGACCCCGGAGAAGGAGCCUGAGAAACGGCUACUACAUCCAAGGAAGGCAGCAGGCGCGCAAAUUACCCAAUCCCGAUACGGGGAGGUAGUGACAAUAAAUACUGAUACAGGGCUCUUUUGGGUCUUGUAAUUGGAAUGAGUACAAUUUAAAUCCCUUAACGAGGAACAAUUGGAGGGCAAGUCUGGUGCCAGCAGCCGCGGUAAUUCCAGCUCCAAUAGCGUAUAUUAAAGUUGUUGCAGUUAAAAAGCUCGUAGUUGAACCUUGGGCCUGGCUGGCCGGUCCGCCUCACCGCGUGCACUGGUCCGGCCGGGCCUUUCCCUCUGGGGAGCCGCAUGCCCUUCACUGGGUGUGUCGGGGAACCAGGACUUUUACUGUGAAAAAAUUAGAGUGUUCAAAGCAGGCCUAUGCUCGAAUACAUUAGCAUGGAAUAAUAGAAUAGGACGUGUGGUUCUAUUUUGUUGGUUUCUAGGACCGCCGUAAUGAUUAAUAGGGACAGUCGGGGGCAUCAGUAUUCAAUUGUCAGAGGUGAAAUUCUUGGAUUUAUUGAAGACUAACUACUGCGAAAGCAUUUGCCAAGGAUGUUUUCAUUAAUCAGGAACGAAAGUUAGGGGAUCGAAGACGAUCAGAUACCGUCGUAGUCUUAACCAUAAACUAUGCCGACUAGGGAUCGGGCGGUGUUAUUUUUUGACCCGCUCGGCACCUUACACGAAAGUAAAGUUUUUGGGUUCUGGGGGGAGUAUGGUCGCAAGGCUGAAC
This 1087-nucleotide ribosomal RNA is filed under the name Phaeoacremonium sphinctrophorum. Its description in RNAcentral is "SSU rRNA". It matches the Rfam family "Eukaryotic small subunit ribosomal RNA", at positions 43 to 1142 of the family's 1831-position model. The record is from RNAcentral. Lineage: Eukaryota; Fungi; Ascomycota; Sordariomycetes; Togniniales; Togniniaceae.